GCAAAAGAAGGUACUGGAUUUUGCCAAAUGAUGAUGCACUGCAACUCACUGCAAUCAAAAGUCAGAAGUCCAGGCAUCUAUUGCUGGGUUGUAGGAGGAACACAUCUGCUGCUGCUGCUGCUGCUGCUAAGUUGCUUCAGUCGUGUCCGACUCUGUGUGACCCCCAUAGACGGCAGCCCACCAGGCUCCCCCGUCCCUGAGAUUGUCCAGGCAAGAACAAUGGAGUGGGUUGCCAUUUCCUUCUCCAAUGCAAGAAGUGAAAAGUGAAAGUGAAGUCGCUCAGUUGUGUCCAACUCUUAGCGACCCCAUGGACUACAGCCUUCCAGGCUCCUCCACCCAUGGGAUUUUCCAGGCAAGAGGAAUGGAGUGGGGUGCCAUCAUCUAGUGUAUUAUAUAAGGCAAGCUACUCCUAUAUUGUUUUGUAUUUAUCACACACUCCAUUGGAAUUUGUAAGGACCAUUUAAACAUUAAUACUACUGUGCUGAAAUUUUGCUCAGAGGUUAAAGCGUCUGCCUGCAAUGCGGAAGACCUGGGUUCAAUCCCUGGGUCAGAAAGAUCCCCUGUAGAAGGAAAUGGCAACCCACUCCAGGAUUCUUGCCUGGAGAAUCCCAUGGAUGGAGGAGCCUGGUGGGCUACAGUCCAUGGGGUCGCAAAGAGUCGGACAUGACUGAGCGACUUCACUUCACUUCACUUCACUUCACUACUGUGUUGAAAUUUUGUUAUAGUGAAUGGGUACUGGUUAGGGUUUUGGCAAUCCUAUUGUUGAAUAAACAUUUUUUUGCCAAAAUUGUACUUAUUUUUAUGAAAUUCAAUCUGGAAUGAUCCUUGGGGAUCCUGAAAGAUAUAGUUCACUUUUCAGAACCUGGCUUUGGAAAAUAUUUUGGCUUGGCAUUGUAGAUAUUUUGUUUUUAAUCUGAAAAAUCUUUUCAACUUUCUUUACCAGUUUUUUCUUUCAUUUGUAUAAUCCUAUAAAUAAAAGAAUGAUUAAAGUUUUCUCCCAGAAGGAAAGAAGCAUUCAAAAUAUUAAAAAAAAAUUGACUUCUUAGGAACAAAUAAA
Molecule: long non-coding RNA, 1057 nt
Filed under: Ovis aries (sheep)
Lineage: Eukaryota; Metazoa; Chordata; Mammalia; Artiodactyla; Bovidae
Description: lncRNA (ENSOARG00000025351.1)
Source: RNAcentral